RNAcentral lists this ribosomal RNA (501 nucleotides) under uncultured Glomeromycotina. RNAcentral's name for it is "partial small subunit ribosomal RNA". It matches the Rfam family "Eukaryotic small subunit ribosomal RNA", at positions 591 to 1092 of the family's 1831-position model. Lineage: Eukaryota; Fungi; Glomeromycota. The record is from RNAcentral.
CCAAUAGCGUAUAUUAAAGUUGUUGCAGUUAAAAAGCUCGUAGUUGAAUUUCGGAAUCAAUGGAUCGGUCAUGCCACUCGGUGUGUACUGGUUUGAUUGGUUCUCACCUUCUAAGGAACCGUGAUGUCAUUAAUUUGGUGUCGCGGGGAAUUAGGACUGUUACCUUGAAAAAAUUAGAGUGUUUAAAGCAAGCUCACGCUUGAAUACAUUAGCAUGGAAUAAUGAAAUAGGACAUUGUAUUCUAUUUUGUUGGUUUCUAGGAUCGAUGUAAUGAUUAAUAGGGAUAGUUGGGGGCAUUAGUAUUCAUUUGUCAGAGGUGAAAUUCUUGGAUUUAUUGAAGACUAACUACUGCGAAAGCAUUUGCCAAGGAUGUUUUCAUUAAUCAAGAACGAAAGUUAGGGGAUCGAAGACGAUCAGAUACCGUCGUAGUCUUAACCAUAAACUAUGCCGACUAGGGAUCGGAUGAUGUUAAUUUUUUAAUGACUCAUUCGGCACCUUACG